This 1071-nucleotide ribosomal RNA is filed under the name uncultured Ascomycota. RNAcentral's name for it is "eukaryotic LSU rRNA". The stretch from base 699 to 852 matches the Rfam family "5.8S ribosomal RNA". Lineage: Eukaryota; Fungi; Ascomycota. The record is from RNAcentral.
CUUGGUCAUUUAGAGGAAGUAAAAGUCGUAACAAGGUUUCCGUAGGACUCUGUCCUCGGGGCAUAUACCGCUGGAAAUUGAUCCUUCUGGGGUGCAUUUGCUGAAACCUUAGCGGGCCCUGACGUGGCUGACUUGACGACUCUAAAUAAACAGUCCCUAAAGAGCUUCUUUUUUUAGGCGCUGACCAACUCUGUAUGGUUGGUGAUACCGUUGAAAUGCUGGAAAAUCCUAACGGCCGUUUGGUACGACCCAGCUUGUGAAAGUUUGCUGGUACUGUGACAAUCCACGGCAUGAAUCUUUAACAAAAGAUGAAAUGGACCAUCAGCAGCCUAACACCUAAGACCUCCCCGGUUAUGGUGUUGGUUCACAGACUAAGUGGUGGUAGGCGCAGACUUUCGCUGCGUUUAAGAUAUAGUCGGCUCUUGAAUAGCUUCAAAUUUAUUACCCUGUCCCUUAAAUCCAAACUCUGUGUUGGAGAUGAAAAAACGUUCCGUAGGUGAACCUGCGGAAGGAUCAUUACCGAGUUAGGGUCUCCUUGGCCCGACCUCCAACCCUUUGUUUAUUAUACCAUGUUGCUUUGGUGGGCCUGCCUUUCGGGGCUGCCGGGGGCAUCACUGCCCCUGACCCGUGCCUGCCAGGAGCCUUCUUAAAUUCAGUCUUUAACCGUGCUGUCUGAGUCCCAGUAUUAAAAUAUAAAAAACUUUCAACAACGGAUCUCUUGGUUCUGGCAUCGAUGAAGAACGCAGCGAAAUGCGAUAAGUAAUGCGAAUUGCAGAAUUCAGUGAGUCAUCGAAUCUUUGAACGCAUAUUGCGCCCUUUGGCAUUCCGAAGGGCAUGCCUGUUCGAGCGUCAUUAUCACGGUAUCAAGCUUGGCUUGUUGUUGGGCCCUUUGUCACCCGGUGACAGGUCCGAAAGACAAUGGCCGGUGGAACAGACUCCACAUGCAACGAGCUGACCACAGCACGCAUCUGGCAGUUGUGUGACCCGGUUUUCACACCCCUUCUUUCUCCAGGUUGACCUCGGAUCAGGUAGGAAUACCCGCUGAACUUAAGCAUAUCAAUAAGCGGAGGA